RNAcentral lists this long non-coding RNA (1061 nucleotides) under Homo sapiens (human). Its description in RNAcentral is "non-protein coding lnc-C9orf84-1:1". Lineage: Eukaryota; Metazoa; Chordata; Mammalia; Primates; Hominidae. The record is from RNAcentral.
GAGAUACGCGCACACACACACACAAACGCACUCAGAUUUCCCGGACCCUGGUUUUCCUCCUGUGACCCUUUCGGGGCCGGGCUCUCACCCUAAAGAAGCAGCCCCGCCCUGGGGUGGCCCCACCCUCUCUUGGGACCUGUCAUAAGUCGGACCCCGGGCGCCCGGCUGCGCAGUCCCAGCCGCCUUCCCCAGGCAGUGGAACCUUCGGGCUCCUGAGCUUCAGGAUGGUUCGUACUAAGACAUGGACCCUGAAGAAGCACUUUGUUGGCUAUCCUACUAAUAGUGACUUUGAGUUGAAGACAGCUGAGCUCCCACCCUUAAAAAAUGGAGAGGUCCUGCUUGAAGCUUUGUUCCUCACCGUGGAUCCCUACAUGAGAGUGGCAGCCAAAAGAUUGAAGGAAGGUGAUACAAUGAUGGGGCAGCAAGUGGCCAAGUAAUUAUUUCCAUUUGUCCCAGUGCUUGGAAAAUAUGUCUCCUCUUUACCUCCUGCUGGGUCCUGUCUCUGUCCAUUGCUCCUACAAUUUCUUCAGCCUAUGUUGUUGACUCACUGUGUGAUCUUGGAAUCAACUUGGGAAAUUCUGUCUCCUUCCUAACUAGCUGGAAAGGAGGGAAGGAUGUGAAAUUGUCAUUUUUUCAGCUUCACUUUGCCAUCCUUACUUUUAAUUACUAAAAAAAAAAAAGUAUUUGUCCAGGUCAUGAUUUAUUGCGGGAUCUGGCCAGCAGCCCACAAUGCAACAGGGUUCUCUCUUUGUUCCCAGGUGGAUCGGCAGGUUGAGAAAUAAUAGACACACACAAGAUAGUGAAAGCUGGGUCCAGGGGCGUCACCGCCUUCUGGUUCCGUGGUGCCACCAAAGCACUGAAUAUACCCGCAUUUAUUAUUAAGUUUAGUGAGGGCGGGGGUAGGUUAGUGAGGGAUUUAGGGUCAUUUGAUUAUGAGGUGAGAUGGUCACAUGGGGAUGAAGUAAUUCUUUAACAUACAUCUGUAUGCAGAAGUACAGUAUACAGAGAUAAGAAUUUACAAUAUAGUGUGUGCAUCAGUAAUUUCUAACAGAGCCUUAAAA